CUACGUGCCAGCAGCCGCGGUAAUACGUAGGUCUCAAGCGUUAUCCGGAUUUACUGGGCGUAAAGUGUCCGUAGUCUGAUCUGUAAGUCUGUUUUCAAAUCCUACGACUCAAUCGUAGAAAGGGAGUGGAUACUGCAGAUCUAGAAGUAUCUAGGGGUUAGUGGAAUUUCCGGUGGAGCGGUGAAAUGCGUUGAUAUCGGAAGGAACGCCGAAAGCGAAAGCAGCUAACUAUAGAAUACUUGACGAUGAGGGACGACAGUUUGGGGAGCAAACAGGAUUAGAUACCCUGGUAGUCCAAACCGUAAAUUAUGCUUGCUAGAUGUUUUUAUCAGUUUACUGGUAGGAGUGUCGUAAUCUAACGAGUUAAGCAAGCCGCCUGGGUAGUAUAUUCGCAAGAAUGAAACUCAAAGGGAUAGGCGGGGGAACACACAAGCAGUGGAUUAUCUAGAUUAAUUGGAUAAUAAGCCAAGAAUCUUACCUAGGAUUGACAU
RNAcentral lists this ribosomal RNA (491 nucleotides) under uncultured bacterium. RNAcentral describes it as "bacterial SSU rRNA". It matches the Rfam family "Bacterial small subunit ribosomal RNA", at positions 501 to 987 of the family's 1533-position model. The record is from RNAcentral.